This 78-nucleotide transfer RNA is filed under the name Alphaproteobacteria bacterium. Its description in RNAcentral is "tRNA-Pro". It matches the Rfam family "tRNA". Rfam says of the family: Transfer RNA (tRNA) molecules are approximately 80 nucleotides in length. Their secondary structure includes four short double-helical elements and three loops (D, anti-codon, and T loops). RNAcentral also lists the same sequence under 4 other names. The record is from RNAcentral. Lineage: Bacteria; Pseudomonadati; Pseudomonadota; Alphaproteobacteria.
CGGAGCGUGGCGCAGCCUGGUUAGCGCACUUGUCUGGGGGACAAGGGGUCGGAGGUUCAAAUCCUCUCGCUCCGACCA